This 442-nucleotide ribosomal RNA is filed under the name uncultured bacterium. RNAcentral describes it as "partial 16S ribosomal RNA". It matches the Rfam family "Bacterial small subunit ribosomal RNA", at positions 338 to 795 of the family's 1533-position model. The record is from RNAcentral.
CCUACGGGAGGCAGCAGUGGGGAAUAUUGGGCAAUGGAGGAAACUCUGACCCAGCAACGCCGCGUGAGUGAUGAAGGUCUUCGGAUUGUAAAGUUCUUUUCUAAGGGAAGAAGAAAGUGACGGUACCUUAGGAAUAAGCCUCGGCUAACUACGUGCCAGCAGCCGCUGUAAUACGGAAGGCCCGAGCGUUAUCCGGAUUCAUUGGGGUUAAAGGGAGCGUAGGCGGGCGUUCAAGUCAGCUGUAAAAUCGCGCGGCUCAACCGCGCCCGGCAGUUGAAACUGGACGCCUUGAGUCCACAACAGGCAGGCGGAAGUCGUGGUGUAGCGGUGAAAUGCAUAGAUAUCACGAGGAACCCCGAUUGCGAAGGCAGCCUGCCGGGGAGCGACUGACGCUGAGGCUCGAAGGCGCGGGUAUCAAACAGGAUUAGAUACCCUUGUAGUC